This 645-nucleotide ribosomal RNA is filed under the name Bacillus sp. HPC936. Its description in RNAcentral is "bacterial SSU rRNA". It matches the Rfam family "Bacterial small subunit ribosomal RNA", at positions 25 to 653 of the family's 1533-position model. Lineage: Bacteria; Bacillati; Bacillota; Bacilli; Caryophanales; Bacillaceae. The record is from RNAcentral.
CCGGCAUACGCUGGCGGCGUGCCUAGUACAUGCUAGUCGGGCGGAUCGAAUGGGAGCUUGCUCCCUGAGAUCAGCGGCGGACGGGUGAGUAACACGUGGGUAACCUGCCUGUAAGACUGGGAUAACUCCGGGAAACCGGGGCUAAUACCGGAUAACACCUACCCCCGCAUGGGGGAAGGUUGAAAGGUGGCUUCGGCUAUCACUUACAGAUGGACCCGCGGCGCAUUAGCUAGUUGGUGAGGUAAUGGCUCACCAAGGCGACGAUGCGUAGCCGACCUGAGAGGGUGAUCGGCCACACUGGGACUGAGACACGGCCCAGACUCCUACGGGAGGCAGCAGUAGGGAAUCUUCCGCAAUGGACGAAAGUCUGACGGAGCAACGCCGCGUGAGUGAAGAAGGUUUUCGGAUCGUAAAACUCUGUUGUUAGGGAAGAACAAGUGCCGUUCGAAUAGGGCGGCGCCUUGACGGUACCUAACCAAAAGCCACGGCUAACUACGUGCCAGCAGCCGCGGUAAUACGUAGGUGGCAAGCGUUGUCCGGAAUUAUUGGGCGUAAAGCGCGCGCAGGUGGUUUCUUAAGUCUGAUGUGAAAGCCCACGGCUCAACCGUGGAGGGUCAUUGGAAACUGAGGAACUUGAGUGCAAAA